AGCAGCUGCCAGCCACGGCUCCGCCGGCCCCGCACCCGGGCGCGGCCAGGCCGUGAGGGGUGCGCUCUGCCUCUCUGAGCCCAGCCUGCCGGCCGGCCCGCUCACCUUGUGGCUCUGGGCCAGAGGAUCUACUACCACAGAACCAUUCUAGAUGUGAGUUCCUAGUGUGAAAGGACUGGGAGUUAACAGAAGAGCCACAGUGAGCAUGUCAGUGAAAAAACCAGUGAAUCGCCUUCCAAACCAGGAGAAAAGAAAGGAUCAGAUGAGAAAAAAGCAGCAAGCCUCGGCAGCAGUCAAUCCUCCAGAACCUAUGCUGGUGGAACAGCCUCGGCCACCAAGGUCAGUGAUUUCCUGAACACGAAAAGACCCCUACUGUAUUCUACAGGGAUAUGAUUAGUGGGUGGGGCCUGUAGGAAUGGCAAACAGUGUCCAGAUAUCACUGAAGGUUUUUUAACAAAGUAUCAUUUCUGUGCUAGAAGAGAGAAUAUAAU
Molecule: long non-coding RNA, 491 nt
Filed under: Homo sapiens (human)
Lineage: Eukaryota; Metazoa; Chordata; Mammalia; Primates; Hominidae
Description: HSALNT0091742
Source: RNAcentral